Argiope bruennichi is the source of this 73-nucleotide non-coding RNA. NCBI's taxonomy places the organism in Eukaryota, Metazoa, Arthropoda, Arachnida, Araneae, Araneidae. The record is from the annotation of a RefSeq genome assembly.
GCCUCGGUAGCGCAGUAGGUAGCGCGUCAUUCUUAUAAUGUGGAUUUCGUGAGUUCGAUCCUCACUCGGGGCA